UUUUCUUUUCUCCUACAAGACUAUUUGUGGCCUCCAUCCUUCAUGGCUUGCACAUGCACAUGUGCGCACGUACACACACACACACACACAUAUAAUUUUCACUUUAUGUGUAUGGAUGUUUUGCCUGCAUGUAUGUCUGCACCAUUUGUGUGCCUGGUGCUGACAGAGGCCAAGAGAGGGCACCAGAAUUGGAGUUACAGAUGGUUAUGAGCUGUCAUGUGGGUUCUGGGAAUCGGAAUCCAGGUCCUAGGGAAGAGCAGAGGUGCUUUUGCACAUUAAACCAUCCCUCUAGCCCCGUAUACACACGUUUUUAAAAAGUGUUAUUGCAGGAGAGGGAGAGCACCACGCACACAUCUGUGGGUCAGAGGGCAGCAGGCUUUCUCCACCACGGUGAGUUCCAGGCACCAAACUCAGGCUUGCGAGGCAGGUGCUUCCUUCCGCCUUCCGAGCCGUCUCCCAGCCUGUGACUUGCUAUUUAUGAGACAGAGGUAGCUCAGGAUUUUCUGAGUGUACAGUUGGCUUUUCAUAGCCAUUUCCUCGUCUUUUCAUUCAGGCAACCACAGAGUGAAAAUGUCCGAGGGGAAAAGCGCAUCUGAAUUGAACAUGUCAAAGUGUUUUGUGUCAUUAUCCUUAAACAAUACAGCAUAACAUUUCUUUGCAUUGCAUAUAUAUUGUAUUAGAUAUUAUAAACAGUCUGGGGGUGGAUACAGAGGACUGUAGGUUAUAUAUAAAUUCAAUACCAUUUUAUCUAAGAGUUUUGAGCAGUUAUGGAGUUGGGUAGGAUUUGGGUGGGUGGCCAGGAUGCAGGAUCCUGGAAUUAAUCCUCCAUGGCUGCCAGACUAUAUAUUAUUCAUUUCUUUGUCUGCUUUUGAGACAGGGUCUUACUGUAUAGCCCUGGUUGACUCACUAUAUAGACUAUCCUGGCUUUGAACUCACAGAGAUCCGCCUGCCUCUGUCUCCUGAGCGCUGGCACCACUGCCCAGGCUUCAUUCAUAUCUUAAACCAUAAAACAGUAAUAAUAUCAGAUGGAAGUUGGAUUUGCUAUACCAUAGCUGACUGAGAUUAGAGAUGAUAAAUAUUGUAUUACUUUAAUUAUGUCUAAAGCAUAGAUAGUCUAUCCUCAUUGCCUUCCCACACGUUUAUUCCAUUUCCCCCUUUUUUUAAAUGUUAUUUAUUAUUAGUGUUGGGGGCAGGUGGCAUUGCCACACUGUACGUGGAGGUCAGUUUGCAAGGGUUGGUUCUCUCCUCCCACUGUGUGGAUCUCAAGGUUGAACUCAGGUGGUCACAUUUGGUGACAGAGCCUUUACUCUGCUGAGUCAGCUUGCCUGGUUUUUAUUUCUUUUGUUGUUGCUUCUGCUGCUGAUACAGGUCUCACUGCACAGCCUGGCUUAGCCUUGAACUCAGGGUUCCCCUGCUUUAGAUGAGACAGGUCUCACUGCACAGCCUGGCUUAGCCUUGAACUCAGGUUUCCCCUGCUUUAGACCUCUCCGCUCCCAGCUCUAGGACAGGAUUACAGGCAUGUGAUACCACGCCUAGUUUAUUUUUCUUCCGUGAUAUUGGGGUCUCAUAGGGCUGAGAGAACAGUCUUCUACAAGCGUGAAGGCCUGAGUUUGAUCCCCAGAACCCCCCAACACACACACAAACACAAACCAGGGAUGGUGAUGCAAUCUUGUAAUCCAGCAAUAUGGAGGUUAAUCAGGAGGAUUCCCAAGGCUCUUUGGCCAGCCAGCCUAGAGCAAUAAUGAGCAAGCUUCAGGCCAAGUGAGAAACCCUGUCUCAAAAAACAAGGUGGAUAGCACCCAAGAAGUGACCCCAAGGUCCGGGCUUCACAUACAUGUGCACGUGUGUGCAUGCAUACCCACAAAUAUGUACACCUGAACACGUGAAAGAGAUGGGAGUCUCGGGUGUUGCUCAGGCUGGUACAGGAUUCCUGGGUUCAGACAACCCUCCUCCCGUAGCCACCCCAGUAGCUGGGACUCCACAAGUAUGUACCACUGCCGCUGUGCUUGGCUUUUCCAAAACUAUUUUGUAGUUUCUUACUACUACGGCGAAGAGAUUAAGCCAAAGCCAAACAAAUGUGGUGCCUGACCUUGAACUUUAAGGUCUGCAGUGAGGUGGCUCAGUGAGGAAGAGUGAGCAGACCUGAUGGUCUGAGUCCCAUACCUGGGGCCCAGGUAACGAUGCAAGAAAAGAGCCACUCCAGAAAGUUGUUCUUUGACUUCCAUACGGAUACCAUUGCACUUGUGCCCCCCCCCAUAUAUACACUCCACAUAGUAGUAAUAAAUAAAACAAAUUUAAAAAGAGAAAAGCAACCAAGGCUCAUUACAGUGUAGGGAGCCAGCUACUAAAACAAUUAAUUAUACCUAUAAGAUGGUUGAGUAGGUUUAAAGUGCUUACAGGGUGAACCUGAUGGCCUGAGUUUAGUCCCUAGAGCCUAUGAUGGGAGGAGAGAAUUGAGUCCGCAAGUGAGCCUUCCAACCUCCACACAUGUACCUACACACAGACACACAGACACACAGACACACACACACACACACACACACACACACACACAGGUAUAGCGAUUAUGGAAGAAUGAUACAAGGUACAUUAAGAGAGGCUGAGAAUGUAGCUCAUUGAUAGAGUGCUGUCUAAGGUAUUUAGGUUUCACUGUAAUUAGAUAAGAAGAAAACAAGUGGAUACUUUUCAGAGCAGAUGUAAUGAUGUGAUUUACACUCACACUACUAGCUACUUUAUCAAACUCAAUGGUUAGGGUAGGGACAAGAAUGGCCACAGAGAGACUAGUUAAAAGACCAAAGUGCAGUCUAGAUAAGAGAUGAUUGUGGCCAACACUCGGAACACUAGAGAAAUAUUGUAUUUUUUCCCAGGGGGGUAACACAGAAUCCCAGUCUUUUGAAAGAUGUAUUUAUAGUCAUUUUAGUUGGUAUGUAUCUGUAUUGGCACGUGUGCAUUGGAGUGCAGGUGCCUGCAGGUGCUGGAGGUGUCAGAGGUGUGAGUGCAGCUGCCUACAGGUGCUGGAGGUGUUAGAGUGUGAGUACCAGUGCCUACAGGUGCUGGAGGUGUUAGAAGUGUGAGUGCAGAUGCCUGCAGGUGCUGGAGGUGUUAGAGUGUGAGUACCAGUGCCUACAGGUGCUGGAGGUGUUAGAGUGUGAGUACCAGUGCCUACAGGUGCUGGAGGUGUUAGAGUGUGAGUACCAGUGCCUACAGGUGCUGGAGGUGUUAGAAGUGUGAGUGCAGAUGCCUGCAGGUGCUGGAGGUGUUAGAGUGUGAGUACCAGUGCCUACAGGUGCUGGAGGUGUUAGAGUGUGAGUACCAGUGCCUACAGGUGCUGGAGGUGUUAGAGUGUGAGUACCAGUGCCUACAGGUGCUGGAGGUGUCAGAGGUGGGAGUGCAGCUGCCUACAGGUGCUGGAGGUGUUAGAGUGGGAGUACCAGUGCCUACAGGUGCUGGAGGUGUUAGAGUGUGAGUGCAGGUGCCUACAGGUGCUGGAGGUGUCAGAGGUGUGAGUGCAGGUGCCUACAGGUGCUGGAGGUGUUAGAGUGUGAGUACCAGUGCCUACAGGUGCUGGAGGUGUUAGAGUGUGAGUACCAGUGCCUACAGGUGCUGGAGGUGUCAGAGGUGGGAGUGCAGCUGCCUACAGGUGCUGGAGGUGUUAGAGUGGGAGUACCAGUGCCUACAGGUGCUGGAGGUGUUAGAGUGGGAGUACCAGUGCCUACAGGUGCUGGAGGUGUUAGAGGUGAGUGCAGGUGCCUUCAGGUGCUGGAGGUGUUAGAGUGUGAGUGCAGCUGCCUACAGGUGCUGGAGGUGUCAGAGUGGGAGUGCAGGUGCCUACAGGUGCUGGAGGUGUCAGAGGUGUGAGUGCAGGUGCCUACAGGUGCUGGAGGUGUUAGAGUGUGAGUACCAGUGCCUACAGGUGCUGGAGGUGUCAGAGGUGGGAGUGCAGCUGCCUACAGGUGCUGGAGGUGUUAGAGGUGAGUGCAGGUGCUGGAGGUGUUAGAGGUGAGUGCAGGUGCCUACAGGUGCUGGAGGUGUCAGAGGUGGGAGUGCAGGUGCCUACAGGUGCUGGAGGUGUCAGAGGUGGGAGUGCAGGUGCCUACAGGUGCUGGAGGUGUCAGAGGUGGGAGUGCAGGUGCCUACAGGUGCUGGAGGUGUCAGAGGUGUGAGUGCAGGUGCCUACAGGUGCUGGAGGUGUCAGAGGUGGGAGUGCAGGUGCCUACAGGUGCUGGAGGUGUCAGAGGUGGGAGUGCAGGUGCCUACAGGUGCUGGAGGUGUUAGAGUGUGAGUGCAGGUGCCUACAGGUGCUGGAGGUGUCAGAGGUGGGAGUGCAGGUGCCUACAGGUGCUGGAGGUGUUAGAGGUGAGUGCAGGUGCCUACAGGUGCUGGAGGUGUUAGAGGUGAGUGCAGGUGCUGGAGGUGUUAGAGUGUGAGUGCAGGUGCUGGAGGUGUUAGAAGUGUGAGUGCAGGUGCUGGAGGUGUUAGAGGUGAGUGCAGGUGCCUACAGGUGCUGGAGGUGUUGGCUCCCACGGAGACGGAGUUGCAGGUGGUUGUGAGCCGCCUGACAUGGGCUCUGGAAACCAAACCUAAGGCCUCCGGAAGAGCAGUGCAAACCCUUAAAGACAAGCUGUCUCUCCAGCCUCUCAGGAUUUGUUUUAAAACUAGGACAAUGUAUUGAGUGUAGAUCACUGUUACUAGGGUAGAUUAAAAACAAAACACAGGCUGCAGAGAUGUCUAAGUCAAGUAAAGUGGUUGUUGCAUAUAAGCAUGGGGACCUGAGUGUAGCUGGAGAGCUUUUCUUUCCGGGUCCCACCAAGUCCUGCCAGUCCCGGAGCCCACUUAUAAAAUAAGCACACAGACUCUUACAUUAUUUAAACUGCUUGGCCAUUAGCUCAGGCCUAUCAUUGUCUAGCUCUUACUCUUAUAUUUAGCCCAUUUCUAUUAAUCUUUACUUUGCUGUGUGGCUCGUGGCUUACUGGUACCUUACAUCUUGCUUGUCCUGGCGGUGGCUCCAGGCAGUCUCCUGCUCCACCUUCCUGUUCCCUCAAUUCUCCUCUCUGUUAGUCCCACCUAUACUUCCUGUCUGGCUACCGGCCAAUCAGUGUUUAUUUAUACAGAGCGAUAUCCACAGCAAUAGUGAUUAUUUCAUAAUACACAUAUUCAAAAUAUCACUGUACACUUAAACAUAUAUAGUUUUUUUUGUUUGUUUGUUUUGUUUUGUUUUUUGAGACAGGGUUUCUCUGUGUAGCUUUGCGCCUGUCCUGGAACUCACUUGGUAGCCCAGGCUGGCCUCGAACUCACAGAGAUCCGCCUGCCUCUGCCUCCCGAGUGCUGGGAUUAAAGGCGUGUGCCACCACCGCCCGGCAACAUAUAUAGUUAUACCCCAGAAAUAAUAAAGAAAAAAGAACUCUCCUACUAUUUUAUAAUUAGUAUGUGUUUAUGUGCACCUUAAGAUCCUGGCUUAAAAUUCGUAAGUGUCAUGAAAUCUGCCAAGAUUGACUUCAAAUUUCAUUUUUGAGACAAUCAAUAUAACAUACCACACUGAGCUGGAAGGACGGCAGUGGUAAUGUGCUCACCAUUCAAGUGUGAGGACCCAAGUUCGGGUCCCCAGAACCUGUGUAAAUGCUGGUAGGCAUGAAGAUAGGGACUCUCUCAGAACAAGAUGGCUAGUCAGACUCUCCUUGUACAGGUACGCUCUGGAGUCAGUUACGGUGGACACAGCCUUCCAAAGCCAAGCUUGGGCCUCCGGUGCAUAGAUGUGCCCAGGCAUUCACACACACUUGUGUAUACAUAUGCACACAUGAAACACACACACACACACACACACACACACACACACACAGGGUAGGGGGAUACACUUAACUUGACCCUAAUAAUGUAAACUAUUUUGAGAGAACAAAUUUAGCUGUUCAAGAGACACAUACAGCCUGAAGUGGUGAUACAUGCCUAUAAUCCCAACACUUAGGAUCAGGAGUUCAAGGACAACCUGGGUUACAUGAGACCCUGUCUCAAGAAAGAGAGAAGAAAAAAGAUUUAUACAUAUUUUGACCAUUUAAAUCCAAUCUUUAAGAAAAAAAAAAAAAAACAAAGACCCCUCCAAAA
Peromyscus californicus insignis is the source of this 6096-nucleotide long non-coding RNA. RefSeq lists it as uncharacterized. The record is from RefSeq and is a predicted model, not a curated record. The transcript has 2 exons. Lineage: Eukaryota; Metazoa; Chordata; Mammalia; Rodentia; Cricetidae.